GUGGACCCACCCCGUCCCAUCCCGAACCGGGUCGUGAAACACUCCAGCGCUGAAGGUACUGCAAGGUUGCCUUGUGGGAGACUAGGUCUGUGCGCCAU
RNAcentral lists this ribosomal RNA (98 nucleotides) under Chloroflexota bacterium. Lineage: Bacteria; Bacillati; Chloroflexota. The record is from RNAcentral.